AACCGAUUACGUUAUGUGACGAGGCAAAGCACAGGUUUGGUUGAUUUUGAUAUCCUCUUGCCAUCAAAAAAGCAGACCAUAUAAUAUGUAACCACGAUUAAUUUUUUGAGGAAAUUCCCUUGCCUUUUAACAAAGCGGUCAUAUUGAUAUACAGUUCUGCUCGAGACUUCUCAUGCACGGAUACCGUUCAUGAACUGAGCGAUUUCACAUAAGGCAAUGACUUUGUGGUACUACUAUCAUUGGCAACGAUUGCUGUGUGGUUCUAUUAUGGCCAAGAGAUGAUAGUGGGACAUUUUUUAAAUAUAAUGUGGGGAAACCGAAAUUACAAGAGGAUUUUGGGAGCUGGAUCUUCAACCAUUGCUCAGAUCGACCAAGCCAAAUUGGACAAACAAAAAUAUAAUCGUGGCAGCAGAGUUGUAAGUCAUUGAAUUUUGGAUCUGGUAAAUACCCCACCUCUCCCCAAAGAAAAAAAAUACAGAUGGUAUUAGUGUUAAAUACUAGGGUGAAAACAUUAGUUUUAGCAAUAAAAGGAAAUGUUGUCGUUGAUAGUGAAAUCUAUAUCUAGUGUUUCAAAAGUUAUGCCAUGCUAAUUGCAGAGGAAUAUCUACUUAGAAUAGUCAAUCAUAACAUGGAUUUUGUAGGUAAGCUAGGAUUUAAUUUGGGUUAGUAUUUACUUCUCAGCCGUCAUGAAGUGGCUGGUUAUUUUAGUACAAACUAAUUUUUGGUCAAUUCAACUAUAGCUCUUGAUGAUAUGUAUACAAAAAAAAAAAAAAAGAAAAAAAGAAAUAGAAUUCAAUUGGUGGCCAGCUAAGGAUUGGAUGAGAUGAAGAGGUCACUUACAUGAAUUUGCAGAUCACUUGUGCCAAUUUUUGUAGUGACGGUUUUGUCGUCAUAACAACAUCGACUUGAUGGCAUCCUUGAUAGAAGUGAUCUGAAGACAAUAACAAGAAUGCGAUUUUGUUCCUCCAAAAUCUUAGGGUUUCUUCAGUAUGGAGCGGUGGAAUUGGACUCUGGCUAGCUUAAUCUCUAUUUGUUCUUCUUCGUCGUGGUAUCAUAUGCUUUUGAGCUUUGUUGAUACCUGUGGUAUCUGUGGUAUUUCUGUAUAAAUAUUUAGGGGUGUAGGGUUUGUCACAAUGUUUUAAAUGUUGGUUUUACAGCAUAGUAGGUGGAUACAUAGUUUCGUUGGUAAACAUUUCUUCAAUAAGUCGAAUAUUCCUAUUUUGUUAAGAAGGUAAAUUCCUGUUAAUCUUAAGGCAGUGCAAUCUGCUAUUUGCAAAAAUGAAAAUCCCCAUGAUUUAAUUGAUUGUAUUCAGAGAGAAUAUAUUAAUUGAUUGAUUUGAUCAGAUAUUUGGUCCAAAUUGUUUUGAUAUUCUGGAAUAUGACUAAAGAUUCUAGGCGUUCUCUCAAUCUUGUCUAACGAGUAGUUUAUUCUAGUAUCGUUUUCAAAAGGAAUCGUUUUAAGCUUAUACUCAAACGUUACGUUGUCUUUAGAUUGUCUUAUUUUCAUUAUACUAUCGUUAAAUAUUAAAUUACAUUGUUCAUCUGGAGAUUGAGUUAUAGAGGGUCUGCCUAUCUUAAUUUGUUUUUAACUGGCAUCGCAAAGUAUGUGAAUUUCAAUUUCUUUUUGUGGUAUGACUAUGUAUUGGUGCCCGGCUGUUAGUGGAAUAAAAGUUAUGUCUUCGAUUUUGUAAACAGCAAAUUUACAAAUAUCUAUCUUUCUGCUAAAGAUAAUGAUUUCUGACGCACAAUCGUAAAUGGAUUUCUUAUCGUGUAUGGCUUGUGUUUGUUUGCACAUUGUGAUUCCUAUUUUCGUGGUUACAAUUUUUAUCAAGGUAUUCAUUGUCAACAUUCAUAUAUGCAAAUUGAUGCGUUAAGAAUAUUGGAUGUUCAAUUACGGGUGCCAGAAAUGCAUGGCCUCUUUUAGUCGGUAUAAGGUAUACUCGCACUAUAUUCCAUGCCGAAUCUGUUUGCAAAGGUACGGUUAUUUUAAAAUAAACUUUAGCUUCGACAGUGAAUAUCGUUAGUCUUGAUAUAUCUAGAAUGAAUUGAUAAUUUUCGUAUUUUGGUUCUAAUGUUCUGUUAUAAAGAUGAUGUCCUAAUGCUUUCUUAUAAUUUUCGAUAAAUGGUACAUGAUCAAUAAUCUGAGGGCUAAGGAUUCGUACUUUUCCCAUGCUUAUGACAUUAAAGAUUUCAUCAAAUUGGAAAUUGCACUUUCUGCUUGAAUUAUUAAAUCUGUUAUUAGUCUCUCUCUUGUAUUAUUAACGAUGUAUUGUAUUGUAUUAUUCGUCAAAUUUAACUCUCAUUUCGUCCAUUUGUUUUAUAUUGUGAGAUUUUAUGAUUUUACGUAUGAACGCGGUUCGAUUGUAACUAUAGUUUUUAAUUCGUUCCCUUCUUGAAAUAAUUUGUCAAUGUUAGUAUUUAUUAGGUCUAAGUCAUCGGUGUCAAGAGUAACGAAUAGACUUUUCGAUAUAGAUUAGUGUGUAAGUUAGUGUGUAAUUGUGUGUUAAAAGUCGUAAUUGGUAUGCUAAAGUUUCUAAUUUUUCUAUGUGUUGGUUUAGAGAUAUUAUUUCGUUAUGAAGUUCGCAUUUGGUUUUACAUACUUUCUCGAUGAACAUGACAUUCGCUUUCUUAUGAUUCAGUUUUUCGUAUACAUCGUUUAUAAAUGAUGAGAUAUAUCUGCCUUUAUAUACAUAUAAAUUUCGUCGAAAUAUAAGUAUGCUUGCUUAAUCUUUUCAUGAAAUAUCCCACUGCCAUCUAAUUGUAAAACGUUAAUUCCUUCGUCAAACUUAGCGUAAAUUAGUGUUUUCGUCAGCUCGUCGUGAAUUGAUAGAAUAAAUUGGUUUCCUCGCUUAGUCUUUGUCAUUGGUUCUAUAAUGUCCAUGACUAUUUUGUUGUUGGGAUUUAAAGGUGUGUCUAAAAUUACUGGUUCUUCUUUAAAACGUCACAAUUUUUAAUAAAAUCUUCGAUUUUACUCAUUAAAUUUGGGAUUUUAUAUUGUUCUUUGAUUCUUAGGUAUGUCUUUUGGAUUCCUAAAUGUCCUAUCGUACCAUUAUGAUUUUCCUAAAUUAUUUUUUCUAUUUCUUCCUCUUUUAAUUCUUGGAUUGGGUCCCAUGCAAAAGUGACAGGGUGUCAGGUAUCGUUAAAGAAUAGAAGUAUAAACUUGAUUUGAUUCUUUUCUAAUUCUGUAAACGUGGUGUCUCCUAUACCUACUUUCUUGUUAUUCCGUAAUAUGUUAUUAAUUUUUUGUAACCAUAUUGUCUCGUCAAACUCUCCUAAUUCUGUUUUAGUUAGUUGAUAGAAAGAUUGAUCGUUAAGUUUUAUUUCUAAUCGUUUUGGGAUUUCUGAUUUCUCUUUCCAUUCCGUAAAAUGUUGUAAGAAAUCUAAGACUACUGUUCUUUCUGGGGUUCCUACUUUUUGAAUCGUGUGAAUUCGAGAUAAGCUAUCUGCAACUGGAUUGUCUUUGCCUUUAACAUAUUCGAUUCUGUAUUCAUAUUCUUCUAACUUUAGUCUCCAUCGCAUUAAUCUAAAUGAUGGGCCUUUGUAAUUAUUUAACCAUUUCAAAGCUUGAUGAUCUGUUCUAAUAAUAAAUUUUCGUCCUAACAAGUAUUGUCGUAAUCGUUUCAAUGCCCAAACUAUCGCUAAUAGUUCUUUCUCAGUCGUCAUAUAAUUCUUUUCCGAUGGAUUCAGUGUUCUGGAAAUAAAACAACAUGGAUGUCCGUCUUGUGAAAGAACUGCUCCUAGUCCUUCGUUACUUGAUCUUUGUAAAGAUCUUUGUAAAAUCUGGAUAAGUCAAGAUCGGUGCUUCACAUAAUUUUUGUUUCAACGUUUCAAAAUUGUCUUGUUUGUUUGUCCAGUGAAAGCCAAUAUCUUUCUUAAUUAAGUCGUUCAAUGGUUUGGCUAUCUUUGAAAAGUUACGUAUAAAUUUUCUAUAAUAUCCUGUCAGUCCUAAAAAUGAUUUGACCUCGGUUGGGUUCCUAGGCGUCCUAAAAUCUUUCACUGUUUUGAUUUUCUUUGGGGUUGGUUUAACUCCUUUGGCCGUUACUAAAUGCCCUAAAUAUUCAAGCUUUGGUUUGAGGAAUUCACAUUUUUCUGGCUGUAUCUUGAGUCCUAAUUCUCUAAGUCUUUGCAAAACUAUUGCUAAAUUUUGAUUAUGUUACUGAAUUAUAUCCUCGAAUAUUAUUAUGUCGUCUAAGUAAGCAAAACAGUGUUUGUUGAUUAAACAGUUUGUUGAUUAAACCUCUUAAAGCUGUGUCCAUCAUGCGUUGGAAAGUCGCGGGUGCGUUCUUUAGUCCAAAUGGCAUUCUGCUAUAAUGAAAGUGUCCCUGAGGUGUUGAAAACGCAGUGUAUUUCUUUGAAUUCAUAGGUAUUUGAUGAAAUCCUGAGAAUAGGUCUAACGCGGAAAAGAAUUUCGCAUUUCCUAAUUGGCUCAGUAUGUCUUCUAUGUCAGAUAAAAGGUAGGCGUCUUGGUCUGUCAGUUCGUUAAGUUUUCUAAAAUCUAUAACUAUUUGUGGCGGCACUCGACAGCAAAUACCACCGGACGACACCAACUAGUGUCACGUAAUAAAUGACGAGAUGUCAUAAAAAAAAGGCGAAUGAGCAAUAGCCCAUUCGUAUGCUUUAUUAAUACGACAAUAUUACAAUUCAAUUGUAGAAUAUAGACUGACUUACUGACUAAAGGACUGGGGUUUUUAUAUCUUCAUUAUGGUUCACAUAUCUUAUGGGUGAGAGUUCGGUUAUUGUUUAUUCUUAUCGUUAUCGCAUGACUAAGUGUUAUCGACAUAUCCGGAGGUCGGUAGAUGUCUGGCUUUUGGGUGAUGUCACUGAGGUAGAUUUACGUGUUACACUCCCCUCUUCGUAGAGUGAAUUUAAUCCUCUAAGUUCUUGCAUUUCUUCAGAAUCGAUGGAUGAAAUUUGGCCUUGAGCGGUGUUGAUAAUUCAAAACUUACUCUUGAUUCUCUUUCUGUUUCAGGUUGUACAGGUAACAUCGGUGUGUAAAUGUUUAUGGAGGCGGAAGGUGUUGCAGUAUUAACGUUAGGUGUGUUACUAAUGGUGCUUUCUUAAUUUUGUAGCAAAAUAUGUGAAUACAUAGGGUUGGCAGUCCUAUGUUACUAAGCAGAUAUAAGCAUAUGAGUCUAAUGGAUAUAUAUCCUAUUAUUUCCAACAUUGUGAGACCCCAAGUUUUAAUUUGUGUCAUUCUGUGUGAAAAAGUUUAUUGAUUGGCUCUAUCUUCUAUUUGAUUCAAGGUAUCAGUAUAACCGUUUAGGUUGCUCAUUACUUUAGGAGUCUUUUCUAAGGUAUCAAGCAUUGAGAAUAAAUCUACGUUAUUAGUUAUAUUUAUGGUUUUGAUCUUAACAUCGUAAGAAAUGCUUUUGGGAUUGCCACUGAUUCUCAUAUGGUUGCCUCCAUACAAUAUAUCUAUAGUUAUUUUAGUUUUCAACAGAGAGGGUUGCUUCAGUUUGACAAUUUGAUGUCCUUCUUCAUAGGAUAUAUUGAGUUCUAUUGGUUUUUCUGGUAUAGCUAUGUAGUGAUUUUCGUUUUUGAGUGGUACAAAAGUUAUUUCUACGAUCUUAUAGAUUGUGAAUUUACAAAAUCUUAUGGUAUUGUCUACACUAAUUAUUUCGGAUGUGCAAUUGUGUUUUGAACGUAUAUCAUGUAUGGGUUGAGUUUAUUUGUACAAUUUUAAAUGUACAAUUCGUGUUUGAUUCGACAUUGCUUGUCCAAAUACAUCUGGUCUACAUUCAUAUAAAUUAAUCUUGAGGUGAAAAAUAUCGGAUGUUCAACUAAUGGGGCGAGAAAUGCUCCAUUCUUUUGAGUCGGUAUGGAGUAUACCUGUUCUAUAUCCCAUUCUGAGUCAAUUAUUGUUGGAAUUGAAAUUUUAAAGAAGAUCUUUUUUCUUUGGACAAACAGUGUGAGUGUAGAGACGUCUAAAAUGUUUUGGAAAUUAUUUUCUUCUGGUGAAAAUCCUUUAUUUAUGAUGUGAUUUCCUAAAGCUUUAGCGUAUUGUUCUAAGAAAAUGUGAUGAUUUAUGAUCUAGGGGCUAAUAAUUCCUUGUUUUCCUAGUAAAAUUAAAUUGAAUAUUUCAUUGAGUUGAAAGUGUAGAUCUGAUAAAGCGCUUUCUAUAGAAAUAAUCUUGACUACUAAAAGUUCUCGCUUGUUUACUUGAUUUAUUUCAUUUUGUAUGUCCGCGUUUACUUUUUCUAAUUGUUUUAGGCUGUCGGUGUUUAGGAUUUUCUCAAUUAGAGCGGUUUGGUUAGCUACAAUGUUAUUUAAUUUGUUUCCUUCGCUAAAUAGUUUGUUGAUAUUCUGGUUUAUCAAUUGUAAAUCGUCAGAAUCUAAGGUUCCGAAAAGUGUUUUGCUGAUUGAACCUAUAGCGUCUAUCAAUUCUCUUUUAACUCUAGAAUGAGUUAGUAAUCCUAAAUGUGUUUCUGGCGUUUUGACGUUAUUAAACUUGUUGGUUAAGGAAAGUAUCUCUGGUUUUACUUGACAUGAGGUGGUACAAUGUUUUUGUUAAAUAUAUCGCUUAAAUCUAUUCCUAUGUAUACGUUAACUUUUUCAUUAUUCAAAUAGGCUUUAGAUAUUUUCUCGUGGAAAAUUGCGUUAUUUUCGAUUGGCAUUAAUUCCAAUCCGAGCACGAGGGCUGUGCAUGAGAUGAGCGUCCUGAAAAGUAUGAUUUAAUUCUGUUACCAUAUACCUUUGAGGUGGAAUGUCGUGAUAGGUGCGGAAAGAAUACUCAGAUGUUCAACAAAAAGUUUAUUACUAUUAACAAUCAACAGGUCAACAAUUUAUACGAUUCACACUCAUGAUUAACCAUCGAGAGUUUACAAUCGCGUAUCUCGGCUUGUGUUUGCUUCGCUAUGAUGCUGAACCUUUCCCACUUCGCGGCUUGAGGCAGAAUGACUCUUUUGUUGGAAACCAAACGAAUUCUUUCCUUAGUUGCCCUUCGAUAUCCCUACUACACAUGCGUUUAUUAGAUGUACCGCGGCGGUUGACGCGCAUGCAUUCUUCCGAACAUUCGGCGGAAGAACCGAUGUCAAUGGCACAUUAGGCACGUCGGCCUUACGCUUUGUAGAUAUAGCGCUUUGUGUCGCGAAGCCGUUGGAAAGUUCCGUGCUCGAGUGCCGCCACACCUUCUUAAUUUGGUUACUGAUUAAAAUCUCGUAAUAAGGAGUCAUAGCUUUUUCGAUGUGGUAAGGACUUAACCAUUCAUCGUCCAAUUUAUCUGCUUUGUGAUUAUUAUGUACAAGAACUGCGUUUCCUUCUUUAAAUACCGUUUGUGUUUUAAUGAUUUUUCUUUGUUGGUCUCUUCUUUGUAGCGUUUUCUACUUUGUUCAAGUGUUUGUCUAGUGUUUUGUAUUUGUCCAAUUGUUUAUGCCAUAGUGCCAACAUUUCUUCAUACGUGUAGUUGGAGGUUCUGGAUAUUGAGGAUGGGAGGUUAGCUUUUUGUCCAAAAGUUAGUUCAAAAGGUGAAAAACCGAUUGCGUCGUGUAUUGCUGUGUUAUAUCCCAAGCAUAUGAAGUUUAAUACUUCGUCCCAUUCUUUGUCUGAGUCGUUUAGACUUGUUCGUAUUAUGUUUUUUACCGUUGCAUGUGUUCUUUCUAGGGAUCCGUUAGAUUGUGGGUGAAAGUUGGUUGUUAUUAUCAUGAGUUCUGUUCUUAGUCUGUUAGUAUAGUUUGUUAUUAUAUAUAAGUUGGGGUUGAUAUUCAAACUGAUUCACACGGAUUGAUUAUCACAGCUUUUAUUUCUACUCCUUGUACAAAACGUCUGAUCACACCGGAUACGCCUAAGCAAUUAACACAUGGUCGACUUCUAAGACAAAAGAGCGUCAUUAGAAGUCGUACCAACUUAGCUUAUAGGAAUUAGCGGUCAUACCAACUCAAUGUUUCUCAACACUCCCCUUUGAUCGCUAGUUUCUACAAGUCCCAUAGCUUUGGUAAAAUAUUGAGUCUUAACUCUAUUUAAUCCUUUGGUGAGAAUGUCGGCAACAUUCUCAGAACUAGAUAUAUAGACAUAAUCUAAUAUCCCUUUCGACACGCAGUUCUUAACAUAAAAAUAAUGCACUUGGAUAUGCUUAGAACUUUCAGCAACUACUUCAUUCUUGGACCAUGAAAUAGCUCCAAUGUUGUCAUAGAAGAUUUUGCAUGGACCAGGACAAUAUGACGAUUGACCUAACUCCCUUAACAAUAAAGACAUCCACACGGUCUCUCUAGCUGCUUCUUGCAUCGCUACGAACUCCGCUUCGCAUGUCGAUUGAGAUAUAAUUGGCUGUUUCUUCGACAACCAAGAUAUUGCUCCACCAGCGAGUAUGAAGACAUACCCGCUUCUAGAUUUCCUAUCUAUUGCACAGCCUGCAAAAUUUGAAUCACAAAACACCUUCAAAGAUUGUCCUGUCCUUUGGUAUACUAGCUAGUUAGAAAAUACAGCCUGUGGCAAGCCUCGUGGCGUAACACACUUCUAAGACAAAAGAGCGUCGUUAGAAGUCGUACCAACCUAGCUUAUAGGAACUAGCGGUCAUACCAACUCAACGUUUCUCAACAUAGUUUUUAGGUGCUGCGAAGAUGUAGAUGUAAUGAUUCAAUAAGGCAUCUAUUAUGGAUUCGGUUCCUUGUGUCUUGAAAGGUGUUAAUAUCAGGUAGUUGGUCAAAUCAUCAUGAAUAGAGAGUAUACGUUGAUUUCCUCGUUUAAUUUUCUACGUGAGACCAAUUAUGUCCAUUGCUACUUUUUCGUUUGGUUCAGUGAGGGUUUAAGGUAUUACGGGAAUUUCUUUCGCGCGGAUUCUGACAAGUUUCUGUUUUUGACAUGCUACACAAUUUUUUAUAAAUUCCUCUACUUUUGAGAACAAAUGUGGGAUUUUAAAUCGUUCUUUGAUUUUUGCGUAAGUUUUGGCGUGUAGGCAGAUGUCUGCUUUUGGGCGACGUCAAUGAGGUAGAUUUGGGCGCUACACUUCCGUAGUUCCAAAGGUCUUCUGGGUUCGUAGAUUGUGAAUUUGUCAUUUAGGAUGACCGUAGUCCACGUUAGUCCUUCCCAUAGGUAUGGAUGUCCUUGUUUUCCAAACGAAGCGAUGUUUCACAAUCCUGACAGGAUCGCCAAAAUCUUACGUAAACUUGUGACUUAGAUUAUAAAAAAGAAGGUUGAGCCAUAGCCAGACUCUUAACUUUCUUUUAUCAAACUUUAUUAUAAAUUCAAUGAUUACAAUAGUCUUACAGAGGUAGUAUAAUAUAACGAAUCAGAGAAAGACUGAACAAGAACUGUCUGAGCCUGCUGGAAUCUCGGCUUAUAUGUGUUUUGGUUUGGGGAUGUUGAAGGGCUUGAUGUAGGUUAUGAUGAUAAGAAGGUGGUGCCGUGUGCAAAAGAGUGCAAAGGUAGGGGAAGAAGUCUUAUCUCUGACGUAAAUUAAGGUAUGGCCAAUGUCACAGCAACAAGUAACGAACAAACGUUCGUUCGAAAUAUUAUUUGAAAUAUCGUGAACUAUUACGAGUUAUUUACAAGUAAGUAUAGAAAUAAUCUGUCAGCAAAUAGAGUUGAAGGGAAAUAAUAUACAUGUCAUGAGAUAUUCAAAAAUAAAAAAACGAUCUUGUUGUGUAAGCCGACAUUGUGAAGAUCGAUAGAUUUCAUGCGCAUGAAACGUGAACGUAAGCGGCGAAUAAUAAUUGUAAUUCGAAACUUUCACCAGCUAGCUGCGAAUAUUGCAUUAAUGUGUGUUAACGUGUACAACUAGUGUUUGUAGUAUAUCAAGUUAUUUUCCUUCUUUUCGUUUAA
Molecule: long non-coding RNA, 9756 nt
Organism: Bombus terrestris (buff-tailed bumblebee)
Lineage: Eukaryota; Metazoa; Arthropoda; Insecta; Hymenoptera; Apidae
Exons: 4
Source: RefSeq, a predicted model, not a curated record